Hibiscus syriacus is the source of this 158-nucleotide small nuclear RNA. RefSeq annotates it as U1 spliceosomal RNA. The record is from RefSeq and is a predicted model, not a curated record. Lineage: Eukaryota; Viridiplantae; Streptophyta; Magnoliopsida; Malvales; Malvaceae. The transcript has a single exon.
AGUCCAACUUGGUAGGGGUCAAUGGGCGACCAAAAAGACUCAUGGCCUAAGGCAGUGACCUACAUUGCACUUGGUAGGGGUGCUGCUCUAAGGUCUCCCCCAAGGGGGAGAGACUACAUAAUUUGUGGCAGCGGGGAGUUGCGUUCGCGCAGUCCCUA